This 999-nucleotide ribosomal RNA is filed under the name soil metagenome. RNAcentral describes it as "bacterial SSU rRNA". It matches the Rfam family "Bacterial small subunit ribosomal RNA", at positions 8 to 998 of the family's 1533-position model. The record is from RNAcentral.
AGAGUUUGAUCAUGGCUCAGAUUGAACGCUGGCGGCAGGCCUAACACAUGCAAGUCGAGCGGUAACACAGAGAGCUUGCUCUCGGGUGACGAGCGGCGGACGGGUGAGUAAUGUCUGGGAAACUGCCUGAUGGAGGGGGAUAACUACUGGAAACGGUAGCUAAUACCGCAUAACGUCGCAAGACCAAAGUGGGGGACCUUCGGGCCUCAUGCCAUCAGAUGUGCCCAGAUGGGAUUAGCUAGUAGGUGGGGUAAUGGCUCACCUAGGCGACGAUCCCUAGCUGGUCUGAGAGGAUGACCAGCCACACUGGAACUGAGACACGGUCCAGACUCCUACGGGAGGCAGCAGUGGGGAAUAUUGCACAAUGGGCGCAAGCCUGAUGCAGCCAUGCCGCGUGUAUGAAGAAGGCCUUCGGGUUGUAAAGUACUUUCAGCGAGGAGGAAGGCGUUAAGGUUAAUAACCUUAGCGAUUGACGUUACUCGCAGAAGAAGCACCGGCUAACUCCGUGCCAGCAGCCGCGGUAAUACGGAGGGUGCAAGCGUUAAUCGGAAUUACUGGGCGUAAAGCGCACGCAGGCGGUCUGUCAAGUCGGAUGUGAAAUCCCCGGGCUCAAUCUGGGAACUGCAUUCGAAACUGGCAGGCUAGAGUCUUGUAGAGGGGGGUAGAAUUCCAGGUGUAGCGGUGAAAUGCGUAGAGAUCUGGAGGAAUACCGGUGGCGAAGGCGGCCCCCUGGACAAAGACUGACGCUCAGGUGCGAAAGCGUGGGGAGCAAACAGGAUUAGAUACCCUGGUAGUCCACGCUGUAAACGAUGUCGAUUUGGAGGUUGUGCCCUUGAGGCGUGGCUUCCGGAGCUAACGCGUUAAAUCGACCGCCUGGGGAGUACGGCCGCAAGGUUAAAACUCAAAUGAAUUGACGGGGGCCCGCACAAGCGGUGGAGCAUGUGGUUUAAUUCGAUGCAACGCGAAGAACCUUACCUGGUCUUGACAUCCACAGAACUU